Molecule: long non-coding RNA, 223 nt
Organism: Salvelinus sp. IW2-2015
Lineage: Eukaryota; Metazoa; Chordata; Actinopteri; Salmoniformes; Salmonidae
Source: RefSeq, a predicted model, not a curated record
AACAGAUUCUCUGAGUACUAAUGAACACAUCCCUCGUUUCUUCUUGUCAUCCAGGGAGAGAUCGGACGACCAGGGUCAAAGGGUCGUACUGGUCCUCCCGGGUUACCAGGUAGACACGGACCAGCUGGAUGGCCCGGUCCAGAGGGACCCAACGGACAGAAAGGAGACCCAGGAUUGAUGGGUCUGCCGGGGUUGAGAGGACCACAUGGGGCAAAGGUCUGUA